CCUACGGGUGGCAGCAGUGAGGAAUAUUGGUCAAUGGGCUUACGCCUGAACCAGCAAAGUCGCGUGAGGGAAGACUGCCCUAUGGGUUGUAGACCUCUUUUGUCAGGGGGCAACGCAGGCUACGUGUAGCCGGACUGCGAGUAACUGAAGAAAAAGCAUCGGCUAAAUCCGGGCCAGCAGCCGCGGUAAUACGGAGGAUGCGCGCGUGAUCCGGAUUUAUUGGGUUUAAAGGGUGCGUAGGCGGAAGGUUAAGUCAGCGGUCAAAUGUCGGUGCGCAACACCGGCCUGCCGUUGAAACUGGUCUUCUUGAGUGAGCUAGAAGUAUGCGGAAUGCGUGGUGUAGCGGUGAAAUGCAUAGAUAUCACGAAGAACUCCGAUUGCGAAGGCAGCAUACCGGCGCUCAACUGACGCUGAGGCACGAAAGCGUGGGGAGCGAACAGGAUUAGAUACCCUUGUAGUC
This 460-nucleotide ribosomal RNA is filed under the name uncultured bacterium. RNAcentral's name for it is "partial 16S ribosomal RNA". It matches the Rfam family "Bacterial small subunit ribosomal RNA", at positions 338 to 795 of the family's 1533-position model. The record is from RNAcentral.